AGUUUUCCAACCCAUCACUAGAUCCAGGUAGCCUAUCUGCUCCCCGCCAAAAAACUUCUUGCCUUCAAUUUGCUUCUCGAUAAAUGCAUACAAUUCUUGUACUGACUCUAUAGUUUUUGCUUUUGCCUCUCCUUCAUCUUGCAUUGCCAUAGCUUGCCAUGAUCCUAUGACACACUGAACAUGAAAAUUAACACAAUCAGAAAGCUAUCAUUUAGUCAUUUGCUAUUCUUGUCUAUGAUAUUUUAUCAGAUGCAUUAACUUGUAUAGCAUGAUUUCUUAACCAUUAAAUUGUUGUCAAUUGCAUUCUUCACACCAAAUUACUUGAAAUGGUUCCAUAUAUUAGAUUGCAGUUGACUGAAGAUCAUGUUUAUGGUCUCAUAAUUUAAGUUAUGAACGUUACUGUCUUAGUACAUAUAUCUGCUAGCUUUUGUACAACAACAUAUCCAGUGUAGUCAUACACAGUGGGGUCUGUGGAGGGUAGUGUGUACGCAGACCUUACCUCUACCUCAUAAGUGACAAAAAACAGUCUAGGAAUUAAUCUGCUAAGUUUUUGUAUGCCUUAUAAUAUGAAGAAUUGGAUUAUGCCAAGAAAGAAAAUCUUACCUUGUCAUCAACAAAUUUUGCCCAGAAACGAGCUGUAGCUCGUUCAUGAGGAUCCUGAGGCAACAAAGAGUAUCCUUUCCAUGUUUCAUCAAUAUAUUCAAGGAUAACAAGUGAUUCAACGACGGGUUUGUCAUCGUGUAGUAGGACAGGGAUCUUCUUAUGAACAGGAUUGGACUUGAUGAGCAACUCACUCUUGUUCAAUAAAUCUUCUUGUAUAUAUUCAUAGUCAACUCCCUUGAGCUUCAAAGCCCAUUCUACUCUGGUGCAAAAUAAGCUUCCUGAUGACCCUAUCAACUUCACUUCUCCCAUUUUUCAAUGAAAAAUCUAUAGAAUUGGCUGUGACUGAUACAAUUUGUUUGAAUAUUUUGCUUUACUCUCUAGUCUUUAUAUGCAUUAAUAUAGUCUCAUGACGAAGGUGCUAUGAUGGAACCACAAGUAUAAAAAUAAAAUCUUUUAUUUCUUCCAUAAAUCGAAAAAUCUAACACGACUCAUUCAACUUGUAUUUUUUAAUUAGGUGUUCAUACUCUUUUUGGUCUAUUUAUCAUGUUUGACUUUUGCAUGUCCCUUAAAAUAGUUUUACUAAAAGGAUUUAAAUUACCUUUGUUUAAUCUUUUACUCUAUUUAAUCUAUUGCAGUCAUGUUCCAACAAUCGAAUAUCCAAAAAUAUAUAUUCGUUGCAUCAAAAAGGAGAAAGAAAUGGCAUUCCUUGCCGUUUUCCCUCUAUAGUCCAUUUGAAGUAGUUUAUAAAUUUAAGAGACUUUUUGGAUGUUACGAUCGAGUUUAUAUUUCCAUCGUAGCGAACACACCCAACGAAUAUGCGUUAUUUCUGCAAUUUGUGUAUAUAUUAUAGUGGAC
This 1458-nucleotide long non-coding RNA is filed under the name Solanum tuberosum (potato). Its description in RNAcentral is "long non-coding RNA (STUB_LNC006769)". Lineage: Eukaryota; Viridiplantae; Streptophyta; Magnoliopsida; Solanales; Solanaceae. The record is from RNAcentral.